GACGAACGCUGGCGGCGUGCCUAACACAUGCAAGUUGAGCGACGAACCAGGGCUUGCCCUGGGGCAAAGCAGCGAACGGGUGAGUAACACGUGGGUAACCUACCCCGAUAACCGGGACAACCCGAGGAAACUCGGGCUAAUACCGGAUGUUCUCACUGGACUUCGGUUCAGUGCGUAAAGGAAGCUUCGGCCUCCGUAUCGGGAGGGGCCCGCGGCCCAUUAGGUUGUUGGUGAGGUAACGGCUCACCAAGACCGCGAUGGGUAGCUGGUCUGAGAGGACGAUCAGCCACACUGGGACUGAGACACGGCCCAGACUCCUACGGGAGGCAGCAGUGGGGAAUCUUGCGCAAUGCGCGAAAGCGUGACGCAGCAACGCCGCGUGGGGGAAGAAGGCCUUCGGGUUGUAAACCCCUUUCAGGAGGGACGAAGGUUCGGCGGUGAAUAGCCGUCCGGACUGACGGUACCUCCACAAGAAGCCCCGGCUAACUACGUG
This 493-nucleotide ribosomal RNA is filed under the name uncultured bacterium. Its description in RNAcentral is "partial 16S ribosomal RNA". It matches the Rfam family "Bacterial small subunit ribosomal RNA", at positions 28 to 507 of the family's 1533-position model. The record is from RNAcentral.